RNAcentral lists this ribosomal RNA (420 nucleotides) under uncultured eukaryote. Its description in RNAcentral is "bacterial SSU rRNA". It matches the Rfam family "Eukaryotic small subunit ribosomal RNA", at positions 592 to 1017 of the family's 1831-position model. The record is from RNAcentral.
CAAUAGCGUAUAUUAAAGUUGUUGCGGUUAAAAAGCUCGUAGUUGGAGUUCUGCCAGGUGCCGCCUGUCCGCCCCAGUGGUGAGUACGUGGCGCGCAUUUGGCCCUUUCAAGGGGAGCGUAUUGCACUUAACUGUGUGGUGCGGGAUCCUUGACUUUUACUUUGAGGAAAUAAGAGUGUUCCAAGCAGGCUCUCGUCGUGCAUAGCUCAGCAUGGAAUAAUGAUAUAGGAUCUCGAUUCUAUUUUGUUGGUUUCUAGAAUUGGGAUAAUGAUUAAUAGGGACAAUUGGGGGCAUUCGUAUUAAUGCGUCAGAGGUGGAAUUCUUGGAUUGCAUUACGACGAACUACUGCGAAAGCAUUUGCCAAAGAUGUUUUCAUUGAUCAAGAACGAAAGUAAGGGGAUCGAAGACGAUUAGAUACCA